GAUGAACGCUAGCUACAGGCUUAACACAUGCAAGUCGAGGGGAAACGAUAUUGGAAGCUUGCUUCCGAUAGGCGUCGACCGGCGCACGGGUGAGUAACGCGUAUCCAACCUGCCCAUCACUUGGGGAUAACCUUGCGAAAGUAAGACUAAUACCCAAUGACGUCUCUCGCAGACAUCUGAAAGAGAUUAAAGAUUUAUCGGUGAUGGAUGGGGAUGCGUCUGAUUAGCUUGUUGGCGGGGUAACGGCCCACCAAGGCGACGAUCAGUAGGGGUUCUGAGAGGAAGGUCCCCCACAUUGGAACUGAGACACGGUCCAAACUCCUACGGGAGGCAGCAGUGAGGAAUAUUGGUCAAUGGGCGAGAGCCUGAACCAGCCAAGUAGCGUGCAGGAAGACGGCCCUAUGGGUUGUAAACUGCUUUUAUAAGGGAAUAAAGUGGGAGUCGUGACUCCUUUUGCAUGUACCUUAUGAAUAAGGACCGGCUAAUUCCGUGCCAGCAGCCGCAGUAA
Molecule: ribosomal RNA, 508 nt
Filed under: uncultured bacterium
Lineage: Bacteria
Description: partial 16S ribosomal RNA
Rfam family: Bacterial small subunit ribosomal RNA
Source: RNAcentral